This 517-nucleotide long non-coding RNA is filed under the name Physcomitrium patens. RNAcentral describes it as "long non-coding RNA (PPAT_LNC011450)". The record is from RNAcentral. Lineage: Eukaryota; Viridiplantae; Streptophyta; Bryopsida; Funariales; Funariaceae.
AAAUCCAUUAUAAUAAUUACUAGGGUUUGAUUUAAGAUUUAAGAUUUGGUUAGGAUUUGAUUUAGGAUUAGGAUUUGAUUAGGAUUUGAUUUAGAGUUAGGAUUUUAUUAGAAUUUUAUAUAGAAUUAGGAUUUGAUUUAGGAUUUAGGAUUUGGUUAGGAUUUAGUUUAGGAUUUAGGAUUUGGUUAGGAUUUGAUUUAGGAUUUAGGAUUUGGUUUAGGAUUUAGGAUUUUAUUAGGGUUUGAUUUAGGAUUAGAAUUUGGUUAGGAGUUGAUUUAGAGUUUAAGAUUUAGUUAGGAUUUGAUUUAGGAUUUAGAGUUUUAUUUGGGUUUGUUGAGGAUUUACGAUUUAGCUGAUUUUUGGCCUAAAGUUUGAAUGAAGUCCAAUAAGAUUUUAAUUAGGAUUAUGAAGACUUCUCGUAUUAUGACAACAUAGUACAAUAAGUUGAAAAGUUCAUAUAGAGGCUCUUUUAGUUCAUGUAUAUAUUGCUAAGAGUAAACAUAAAGCCUUGAUAGAA